AACGAACGCUGGCGGCAGGCCUAAAACAUGCAAGUCGAACGAUCUAGCAAUAGAUAGUGGCGCACGGGUGAGUAACACGUGGGAAUAUCCCUUUCACUACGGAACAACGUCGGGAAACUGACGCUAAUACCGUAUAAUGUCUCCGGACCAAAGAUUUAUCGGUGAAAGAUUAGCCCGCGUCUGAUUAGCUAGUUGGUGAGGUAACGGCUCACCAAGGCAACGAUCAGUAGCUGGUCUGAGAGGAUGAUCAGCCACACUGGAACUGAGACACGGUCCAGACGCCUACGGGAGGAAGCAGUUAGGAAUAUUGGACAAUGGGGGCAACCCUGAUCCAGCCAUGCCGCGUGUGUGACGAAGGCCUUAGGGUUGUAAAGCACUUUCGUCUACGAAGAUAAUGACAGUAGUAGAAGAAGAAGCUCCGGCUAAAUUCGUGCCAGCCGCCGCCGUAA
RNAcentral lists this ribosomal RNA (449 nucleotides) under uncultured bacterium. Its description in RNAcentral is "partial 16S ribosomal RNA". It matches the Rfam family "Bacterial small subunit ribosomal RNA", at positions 29 to 523 of the family's 1533-position model. The record is from RNAcentral.